This 90-nucleotide transfer RNA is filed under the name Candidatus Nanopelagicus abundans. It matches the Rfam family "tRNA". From Rfam's summary of the family: Transfer RNA (tRNA) molecules are approximately 80 nucleotides in length. Their secondary structure includes four short double-helical elements and three loops (D, anti-codon, and T loops). The record is from Rfam by way of RNAcentral. RNAcentral also lists the same sequence under 2 other names. Lineage: Bacteria; Bacillati; Actinomycetota; Actinomycetes; Candidatus Nanopelagicales; Candidatus Nanopelagicaceae.
GGAGACGUCGCAUAGCCCGGUCUAGUGCGCCUCACUGCUAAUGAGGUUAACCCCUAAAGGGUUUCGGAGGUUCAAAUCCUCUCGUCUCCG